This 609-nucleotide ribosomal RNA is filed under the name uncultured Sebacinaceae. RNAcentral's name for it is "eukaryotic LSU rRNA". It matches the Rfam family "Eukaryotic large subunit ribosomal RNA", at positions 72 to 664 of the family's 3401-position model. The record is from RNAcentral. Lineage: Eukaryota; Fungi; Basidiomycota; Agaricomycetes; Sebacinales; Sebacinaceae.
GGAUUCCCCUAGUAACGGCGAGUGAAGAGGGAAGAGCUCAAAUUUUGAAUCUGGCGCCUUUGGUGUCCGAGUUGUAAUCUAGAGAAGUGUUUUCCGUGGCGGACCGUGCACAAGUCUCCUGGAAUGGAGCGUCAUAGAGGGUGAGAAUCCCGUAUAUGGCACGGACUCCCGUUGCUCUGUGAUACACUCUCAACGAGUCGAGUUGUUUGGGAAUGCAGCUCUAAUUGGGUGGUAAAUGCCAUCUAAAGCUAAAUAUUGGCGAGAGACCGAUAGCGAACAAGUACCGUGAGGGAAAGAUGAAAAGCACUUUGGAAAGAGAGUGAAACAGUACGUGAAAUUGUUGAAAGGGAAACGCUUGAAGUCAGUCGUGCCCUUCGGGAUUCAGCCUUGCUUCUGCUUGGUUUACUUCCUGUUGGGUGGGUCAACGUCAGUUUCGAUCGGAGGAGAAAGACUUGGGGAAGGUGGCAGCAUUCGUGCUGUGUUAUAGCCCCUUGUUGUAUACUUCGAUUGGGACUGAGGACAGCAGCGCGCCUUUACGGCCGGGGUUCGCCCACGUACGCGCUUAGGAUGUUGGCAUAAUGGCUUUAAGCGACCCGUCUUGAAACACGG